AGUGAACGCUGGCGGUAGGCCUAACACAUGCAAGUCGAACGGCAGCACAGUAAGAGCUUGCUCUUACGGGUGGCGAGUGGCGGACGGGUGAGGAAUACAUCGGAAUCUACUUUUUCGUGGGGGAUAACGUAGGGAAACUUACGCUAAUACCGCAUACGACCUACGGGUGAAAGCAGGGGAUCUUCGUACCUUGCGCGAUUGAAUGAGCCGAUGUCGGAUUAGCUAGUUGGCGGGUUAAAGGCCCACCAAGGCGACGAUCCGUAGCUGGUCUGAGAGGAUGAUCAGCCACACUGGAACUGUGACACGGUCCAGACUACUAAGGGAGGCAGCAGUGGGGAAUAUUGGACAAUGGGAGCAAGCAUGAUCCAGCCAUACCGCGUGGGUGAAGAAGGCCUUCGGGUUGUAAAGACCUUUUGUUGGGAAAGAAAAGCAGCAGGUUAAUACCCCGCUGUUCUGACGGUACCCAAAGAAUAAGCACCGGCUAACUUCGUG
This 492-nucleotide ribosomal RNA is filed under the name uncultured bacterium. RNAcentral describes it as "partial 16S ribosomal RNA". It matches the Rfam family "Bacterial small subunit ribosomal RNA", at positions 29 to 507 of the family's 1533-position model. The record is from RNAcentral.